RNAcentral lists this ribosomal RNA (232 nucleotides) under uncultured bacterium. RNAcentral describes it as "partial 16S ribosomal RNA". It matches the Rfam family "Bacterial small subunit ribosomal RNA", at positions 118 to 350 of the family's 1533-position model. The record is from RNAcentral.
UGAGCAACCUGCCCCGAAGACCGGGAUAACCCCGGGAAACCGGAGCUAAUACCGGAUACUCCGGCUGGAUCGCAUGGUCCGGCCGGGAAAGGUCCGCCGGAGAGGGAUGGGCCCGCGGCCUAUCAGCUUGUUGGUGGGGUCAUGGCUCACCAAGGCGACGACGGGUAGCUGGUCUGAGAGGACGACCAGCCACACUGGAACUGAGACACGGCCCAGACUCCUACGGGAGGCA